This 154-nucleotide unclassified non-coding RNA is filed under the name Pseudoophiobolus italicus. Its description in RNAcentral is "partial internal transcribed spacer 2". The record is from RNAcentral. Lineage: Eukaryota; Fungi; Ascomycota; Dothideomycetes; Pleosporales; Phaeosphaeriaceae.
GUACUCUCAAGCUUUGCUUGGUGUUGGGUGUUUGUCCUUUCCUUUGCGUUUGGACUCGCCUUAAAUUUAUUGGCAGCCAAUAUACUGGUUUGAAGCGCAGCACAAUUUGUGAUUCUCUCUAGCAUUAUUGCAUCCAUUAAGCAUAUUUUAACAC